Molecule: long non-coding RNA, 2711 nt
Filed under: Marmota monax (woodchuck)
Lineage: Eukaryota; Metazoa; Chordata; Mammalia; Rodentia; Sciuridae
Source: RNAcentral
GCUGUGACACAUGCCUGUAAUCCCAGUGUCAUGAGGAUCUCAGGUUCAAAGUCAGCCUUAGCAACUUAGCGAGACCCUGUGUUAGAAAUACCGGGGAGCUGUGACAAGACAAUUUUUACUUCUGUAGUAGGGUGUGCUGCCAUUUUUGUUACAUAUUAGGAAACUCAGACACAGAUUUAACUUUGUCAGAAAAGAGAACAUUAAUCUUACACCUGUCUCAAAAGAUAUAAAGGUCUGGAGAGGUAGAUGGACACAAUACAUUUAUUUAUUUAUUUUUAUAUGGUGCUGAGGAUCCAACCCAGUGCCUCCCAUGUGCUAGACAAGCUCUCUACCAUUGAGCCACAACGUCAGCCCAAGGCCACAGUAUUUUUGUCCCUCUGAGUUUGGUUGCUACCCUCCUUGGAAGUCCUCUGUUCUGGAGGGCCCAGGUGAGCUCGAGGAUUGGAGUUGCAGGUAAUAAAACACUAACAGCAGCUGCAGUGGCACCAGCACCGGCACUUCAGUGCUCUCCGCCUGCUCAGUGAAUCCAUCUGUGCAAAAAGCCUUCCCUCCACCAUCACCCCUCAUCCCCAGUCCAGAUGCUCCCUCUUGGCACCAGAAUCUGGGGGAUCUCCCAGUUCCAUUCCAUAGCCAAGACAGAGGGCCAAAAAGGACACUCUGCCUGCUGGGCCACACAUCUGCGCCCUCACCCCCACUCUGCCUAGGGAGUGUCCAGGGGGAGCCACAGGGAGUGUCCACAGCUCUGACUUGGUUCCCCCUCUGCCUGCCAAGCCAUCCCCAACCACCACCCUUUAGUGGGUCCUCUGCCUUUUAGCCCGAAGAGGGCUGCUGCUGAUUCUGUGUCCCAGCCUAUCUAUCCAAUGGAAACAUCACCCCAUUCAAGACAUUAGACAUAUCCAUCCUUUCCAAUGGAAUCUUUCUCUGUUUGUUUUACUUCUCCCCUGCAUCCUACCACCCUCCUGGUGGACCUCUGAUCUAUGUUUCACAUGACAUAGAAACUUCCAGAUGGUUAUAUUGUUUUUCUGGAUUCUGUAAAUCAGUGUGCUCAUCUUGAGAUGAUCACAUUGCCCUUCUAGACAAUGGCCCUUGCUGCCUUCACCAUCAAGGACUCUACCUUCUUAAAUAGAUGGACACCACAGACACACUCUGCCAGCUGUCAUCUAUUUCCAGAUAAUGGCACCCCUCCUGGCUCUCUGGCAGUUCACAUCAUUUUUUCGUUGAGUUAAAGGUUGCCAGCACAGAGAUUUGCCUUUGCCCUUAUUCUGCAUCUUUAAAGUAAGUGGCAGGAGUUAGUUAUACUUUUGAAUCAUGGCAAUAUCCCAUAGCAAACUUCGGGACUAAGGCACCAUGUCUUGGAAAGAUUUCUCAGGAUGAUUGCCCAUGUCAUGGCACCAGGCUUUCACUGAGAAUCAGGUCUCCCUGCAGCAGUGACAGACAGUCACGAUGCCUUGCUCACCCUCCUGGGUUGAGUUGGGAUGUGUCGGUCAGCCUGAUGCUGGCACAUUGCAGUGAAAUGGGUGUUCACCAGCUCAGGUGUCAAGUAGAUGCUAUUGUAUAUCAAAUGACUUGUUUCCUGGUGAGCAGAAAUACAGAGCUGAGAGGAAAGGCUUGAAGUGGCAGAGGACCUGCCAGCAACCUAGGGUGACUUGUGUUUCUCCCCCAAUGGGAGGCUUCCUCUCCACUGAUUGUGUCUGUGGGUCUGUGCAUUUACAGGAAAGCUGGGAGGAGGGACCUUCCAGUUAUGGCCUUAGAAUUCAUGCUUGGUGGGAAGGUAAUACUUUUUUUUUUUUUUUUGGUACUGGGGAUUGAACUCAGGAGCACUCAACCACUGAACCACAUCCCCAGCCCUUUUUUGUAUUUUAUUUAGAAUCAAGGUCUCACUGAAUUGCUUAGGGACUCACUAAAUUGCUGAGGCUCGCUUUCAACUCUUAAUCCUCCUGCCUCAGCCUCCCAAACUGCUGGGAUUACAGGUUCCAAGUUGCUUGGAUUACAGGUGUGUGUCACCACGCCUGACCGGUAAUACAUUAAUUUUCAGGGGCCGUUGGGUCAUUUGUAUUUGUUUCCAUCCCAGGAAGCUGAAAAUGAAGGAACAUAAGUAGGUGGAAUCCCCAAAGCAACUAACUCUCAGAGGCAGAGCAGAAACCGGGGUUGACUACUAAGGAAAUAGGGAGCUAUGAGUGAAUUUCGAGACUGAACACCAGCCUCAUGGGAAACCCCUGACACAGGUUUUCUGGUAAACCUUUGUGCAGUCUUUAGACCCAAUUAUGGAAGAUAUGGGAACAAAAGUUUGGAGGAAAUAUAUACAGAGAGAGAAUUCACACAAGACUAGACAACCUUCAUUUAUGUUUACAAAUCUGAAAGUUACUGCACAUUUCUUGAUCAUUGUGGUGGGCAGACUGGGAGGAGCCUCGGAUCACAAACAUUUCUGGGAACCGUGCAAACAGUGACCAUGAUUAGGAAAGCUGUUUAGUGGAAGAUGAAUCACAUGCACAAAAAGGAGGAUGCUGUUUUUAUAUUUUUUAUGUUAAGAUAACGUGUGUGUCAGUUGUGAGGAUGAGGGGACCAUGGGAAGAUGCUUUAAAAUGGUGUCAAGGAUCCGUGUGCAGAGUUGCUAAGGGUGAAACUUUCCAUUGACUUUGCUCACUUCUGGCCGGGGCGCGGGAGGGUGCGGGUCGUGGGCGGAGAAAAGCUAGCGGCUCGGGCGACGGGGG